CGCGCAGGUCGCGACACAGGGACGACGAGGACUCGACGGCCGCGUGAGCCACCCGCGCCGCGCCCCAUCCGGCCAUCCGCCACCUCUCCGCCGCGCGCGCGGCUGCGGUUGCUAUGCUACUCCGGCCACGCCUCUCCCUCCUCCGAGCCGUCGCGCCGCGCCCCGUCCCACCACCACCCCGCGCCUCGCUCCCCGUCCGUCGCACGCUCUCCUCGCCGGCCGGAGCGGCGAGGACCGCGUCCGCCGGCGAUGCGCCGCCGCCGGCGCAGCGAACCGGGCUCAAGGGCGGGAGGAAGAGCGCGCCACCGCCGCCGCCUCCCAGGGGUUCGUCCGUGAACCCCGCGCUGUUCUUCCCGCCGGGGGUGGAUCGGGACGCGGCGGUGGCGGCGGAGAUGGUGAUACCGGCGUCGAACAUCGUGGUAGGGCCCUACGCGGGGGACUCGCGGGUGAAGGAGGCGGAGUUCGUCAAGAGCAGCGCGCGCGCGCGGGACUGCCCCAAGGACGACCGCCCCGAGUUCGCCGUGCUGGGGCGCUCCAACGUCGGCAAGUCCUCGCUCAUCAACGCCCUUAUCCGCCGCAAGGAAGCCGCGCUCACCUCCAAAAAGCCUGGGAAGACCCAGACGAUUAAUCAUUUCUUGGUUAACAAAAGUUGGUACCUUGUGGAUUUGCCUGGUUACGGGUUUGCGGCUGCAUCUCAAUCUGCUCGAACAGAUUGGUCUUCAUUUACCAAGGGUUACUUCUUGAACAGAGAUACCUUGGUUGGCGUACUGCUCCUUGUUGAUGCCAGUAUUCCGCCUCAGAAAAUUGACAUAGACUGUGCCAAUUGGCUUGGCCGUAACAAUAUUGGAUUGACCUAUGUGUUCACAAAGUGUGAUAAAUCCAAGAAAGGUAAAGGGGGCCGGCCAGAGGAGAACAUCAAAGAGUUCCAGGAGACGAUCAGUUCCCUGUACCCAGAGCCUCCUCCAUGGAUCAUGACGAGUAGCGUUACUGGAUUAGGCCGAGAUGGGCUGCUCCUCCACAUGUCGCAGUUGAGGAAUUACUGGGACAAUGAAGCAACCAUGAGUCCAUGAUUUGCUUAGAAGAGGGAAGAGGGAAUUACAAACCACGAGUCCUUGACCCUUGCCGAUAUAUCUUGAAUUACAUGAGCUUUUAGUCCAGUUCCUUCUCAUUCUGUUGUAUGACCCUUUGGUUUAUAGUGGGAUACUAAGAGAGGCUUUGCGAUGUGGAGCUUCUUGUAAUUUCCCCUCCUCAGAGUCUCAGGUGUAUACAUUUAACAGGUUCUGCGGCGGCAGGGGGAGCGAUCUGGAACUAGACAACAGUUAUGGUGAAGGCAGCCUAGGAAAUUCAAAGGACUGUAAGCAUUCAAUGGCACGAAACUUAUUGCCAAAAAUUCUACUACUAGUACUGUGCAUUUCAUACAUUUCGUCGCCCGAUCCGACAGACUGCCGGCCUGGAUGGUUUUACACUUCAUGAUGGCAGUAACAAGCACUGCUAGUAAUUUUGAUGAUGUAAA
This is an RNA transcript of Oryza sativa Japonica Group (Japanese rice), 1513 nucleotides long. It is a transcript of the gene named GTP-binding protein At2g22870, with no coding region annotated. The record is from RefSeq and is a predicted model, not a curated record. NCBI's taxonomy places the organism in Eukaryota, Viridiplantae, Streptophyta, Magnoliopsida, Poales, Poaceae.